GAGGAAUUGGUCAAGACUCGCCAAGCCUGGUGUGAACUAAGCAUGGAACUGUUCUUCACUAAAAACAAAUCCAGGAAAACAAGACCUACUGGGCACUUGGUGAAAUGAAUGGGAGCAGUUUGGGAUAGGAGUGCCUCAUGCAGCAUGCAGACAACAGCUGCAAGGGGGAUAAAGAUUUGUGAAACAGCUACAGCUUGUAUAGUGGAACUAAGGAAGAAAGAUGAGUUUGGGAAGCAGAGAAUACGGCAUUAUGAGGGUAGAAAAGAGGUCUUAGUUCUUUGAUAUCAGCAAGCUGUUGUAAGUCAGUAAUAAGCAGGACUGAAGGGUGAGGCUUCUACAUGAGCAGCAUCACCUCAAAAGGUAUGGAACUGAUGUACGUAUGUCAGAGGAAAAAGAAAACCUCAAAACUCAAAGCUAAGCAGAAAUUAACCAUUUAACGCUUAGGAAUAAAGAAGCAGAAGGACAGAAUAACUUAUAAUGCUAUCACUCUUACAAAGUCUAAGCAUGUAUUACACAGAGUGAGAUACAGGAUCUUUCUUCCUAACCAGUUUAGUAGAGCACUCACCUGCAUGUAUUUGUCUUUAAUCUGUUCACAAGUGGAGAUACAGUUGGAGAUGUAAAGAUGAAUAAAUUCAGGAGGGAGAUCAACUGCAGUAGUAAGCCUGUUCAAAUUAAAGAUAUCGAAUACUUUAUGAAGCCAUAAAUUCAAUGAUUUCAUUGCAGAACAGAGUUAGACCUGCAAUAUUAAUCUAUUGCUGAUAGUGUUUCUUUUUUAAACCCAACACAGUACAGAAGCUGAGUUAAAUCUGGGCUUUAGUAUAUUUGACAUUAACACAAACAUUUGCUAUAAAUUACAGAAAUGAGUCAAUAUCAUUUUAAUCCUCCCUACUGCCUGAGUACUGAGAUUCUUCAUAUCAUUUGGCUUACCCAUACUGGGACUUCAGUGAGUCCUGGUGUUCCUUCCUGAAGAACACAACCAGCAUAACUGUUUUAUGCAAUUAAAGACCCAUUUCCUUACUUCUUUCAAAUCUACAUUUUUUUCCUGUGCUGGC
Molecule: long non-coding RNA, 1052 nt
Filed under: Gallus gallus (chicken)
Lineage: Eukaryota; Metazoa; Chordata; Aves; Galliformes; Phasianidae
Source: RNAcentral